AUUGCCCUGGGGCUUGACAUCCCACGAACCUGCCCGAAAGGGUAGGGUGCCCGCAAGGGAGCGUGGAGACAGGUGGUGCAUGGCUGUCGUCAGCUCGUGUCGUGAGAUGUUGGGUUAAGUCCCGCAACGAGCGCAACCCCCACCCCUUGUUGCCACCGGGUCAUGCCGAGCACUUUAGGGGCACUGCCAGCGUCAAGCUGGAGGAAGGCGGGGAUGACGUCAAGUCAUCAUGCCCCUUACGCCCUGGGCGACACACGUGGCCACAAUGGCUGGUACAAAGGGAUGCAAGACCGCGAGGUGGAGCUAAUCCCAAAAAACCGGUCUAAGUUCAGAUUGCAGUCUGCAACUCGACUGCAUGAAGGAGGAAUCGCUAGUAAUCGCGCAUCAGCACGGCGCGGUGAAUACGUUCCCGGGCCUUGUACACACCGCCCGUCACACCACGAAAGCCGGCUGUACUCGAUGUCGCUGAGACGGGCA
Molecule: ribosomal RNA, 477 nt
Filed under: uncultured Methylomirabilota bacterium
Lineage: Bacteria; Methylomirabilota (SeqCode)
Description: bacterial SSU rRNA
Rfam family: Bacterial small subunit ribosomal RNA
Source: RNAcentral